RNAcentral lists this ribosomal RNA (195 nucleotides) under Triticum aestivum (bread wheat). RNAcentral's name for it is "partial small subunit ribosomal RNA". It matches the Rfam family "Bacterial small subunit ribosomal RNA", at positions 852 to 1046 of the family's 1533-position model. The record is from RNAcentral. Lineage: Eukaryota; Viridiplantae; Streptophyta; Magnoliopsida; Poales; Poaceae.
CUAAUGCGUUAAGUAUCCCGCCUGGGGAGUACGUUCGCAAGAAUGAAACUCAAAGGAAUUGACAGGGGCCCGCACAAGCGGUGGAGCAUGUGGUUUAAUUCGAUGCAAAGCAAAGAACCUUACCAGGGCUUGACACGCCGCGAAUCCUCUUGAAAGAGAGGGGUGGCCUCGGGAACGCGGACAAAGGUGGUGCAU